This 526-nucleotide ribosomal RNA is filed under the name uncultured crenarchaeote. RNAcentral's name for it is "bacterial SSU rRNA". It matches the Rfam family "Archaeal small subunit ribosomal RNA", at positions 339 to 866 of the family's 1478-position model. Lineage: Archaea; Thermoproteati; Thermoproteota. The record is from RNAcentral.
GCGCGAAACCUCUGCAAUAGGCGAAAGCCUGACAGGGUUACUCUGAGUGAUUUCCGUUAAGGAGAUCUUUUGGCACCUCUAAAAAUGGUGCAGAAUAAGGGGUGGGCAAGUCUGGUGUCAGCCGCCGCGGUAAUACCAGCACCCCGAGUGGUCGGGACGUUUAUUGGGCCUAAAGCAUCCGUAGCCGGUUCUGCAAGUCUUCCGUUAAAUCCACCUGCUUAACAGAUGGGCUGCGGAAGAUACUAUAGAGCUAGGAGGAGGGAGAGGCAAGCGGUACUCGAUGGGUAGGGGUAAAAUCCGUUGAUCCAUUGAAGACCACCAGUGGCGAAGGCGGCUUGCCAGAACGCGCUCGACGGUGAGGGAUGAAAGCUGGGGGAGCGAAACCGGAUUAGAUACCCGGGUAGUCCCAGCUGUAAACGAUGCAGACUCGGUGAUGAAUUGGCUUUAUGCCAAUUCAGUGCCGCAGGGAAGCCGUUAAGUUUGCCGCCUGGGGGAUACGGUCGCAAGACUGAAACUUAAGGAAGUU